GACAGAGGGUGCAAGCGUUGUUCGGAAUUACUGGGCGUAAAGCGCGUGUAGGCUGCUCGGAAAGUCGGAUGUGAAAGCCCUGGGCUCAACCUAGGAAGUGCAUUCGAAACUUCCGAGCUGGAGUGCUGGAGAGGAAGGCGGAAUUCUCGGUGUAGAGGUGAAAUUCGUAGAUAUCGAGAGGAACACCGGUGGCGAAGGCGGCGUUCUGGACUGCAGCUGACACUGAUGAACGAAAGCCAGGGGAGCAAACGGG
RNAcentral lists this ribosomal RNA (253 nucleotides) under uncultured bacterium. RNAcentral describes it as "partial 16S ribosomal RNA". It matches the Rfam family "Bacterial small subunit ribosomal RNA", at positions 524 to 776 of the family's 1533-position model. The record is from RNAcentral.